UAAAUAUAAAUCCAAACCAAAGACCGUAGGGGGAUAUAUAGUCCUUAAAUAACCUACCGAGGUUGGAAGUUAGAUAUACUAACCUCAAAACUCAACCCCCUGUCUUUGCGAUAGGGGUAUAUUUUUA
Molecule: small RNA, 127 nt
Filed under: Fusobacterium animalis
Lineage: Bacteria; Fusobacteriati; Fusobacteriota; Fusobacteriia; Fusobacteriales; Fusobacteriaceae
Description: Ribosomal protein L10 leader
Rfam family: Ribosomal protein L10 leader
About the family: This family is a putative r-protein leader autoregulatory structure found in B. subtilis and other low-GC Gram-positive bacteria. It is located in the 5' untranslated regions of mRNAs encoding ribosomal proteins L10 and L12 (rplJ-rplL).
Source: RNAcentral